GGCGAACCGUGCGAACGUUGUUCGGAAUCACUGGGCUUAAAGGGCGCGUAGGCGGGCUGUCAAGUCCGGGGUGAAAUCCUCCAGCUUAACUGGAGAACGGCCUCGGAUACUGACGAUCUCGAGGGGGAUAGGGGCACGCGGAACUGUGGGUGGAGCGGUGAAAUGCGUUGAUAUCCAUAGGAACUCCGGUGGCGAAGGCGGCGUGCUGGAUCCCUUCUGACGCUGAGGCGCGAAAGCCAGGGGAGCAAACGGG
RNAcentral lists this ribosomal RNA (253 nucleotides) under uncultured Zavarzinella sp. RNAcentral describes it as "partial 16S ribosomal RNA". It matches the Rfam family "Bacterial small subunit ribosomal RNA", at positions 524 to 776 of the family's 1533-position model. Lineage: Bacteria; Pseudomonadati; Planctomycetota; Planctomycetia; Gemmatales; Gemmataceae. The record is from RNAcentral.